GACGAACGCUGGCGGCGUGCUUAACACAUGCAAGUCGAGCGGUAAGGCCCUUUCGGGGGUACACGAGCGGCGAACGGGUGAGUAACACGUGGGUGACCUGCCCUCAGCUCUGGGAUAAGCCUGGGAAACCGGGUCUAAUACUGGAUAUGACUCCAUGACGCAUGUUGUGGGGUGGAAAGUCUUGUGCGGCUGAGGAUGGGCCCGCGGCCUAUCAGCUUGUUGGUGGGGUGAUGGCCUACCAAGGCGACGACGGGUAGCCGGCCUGAGAGGGCGACCGGCCACACUGGGACUGAGACACGGCCCAGACUCCUACGGGAGGCAGCAGUGGGGAAUCUUGCGCAAUGGGCGAAAGCCUGACGCAGCGACGCCGCGUGAGGGAUGACGGCCU
This 388-nucleotide ribosomal RNA is filed under the name uncultured bacterium. Its description in RNAcentral is "bacterial SSU rRNA". It matches the Rfam family "Bacterial small subunit ribosomal RNA", at positions 28 to 417 of the family's 1533-position model. The record is from RNAcentral.